AAGAGACAGCAGUCGCCGCGGUAAUACGUAGGGGGCAAACGUUAUCCGGAAUUACUGGGUGUAAAGGGAGCGUAGACGGUUAAACAAGUCUGAAGUGAAAUGCCGGGGCUCAACCCCGGAGCUGCUUUGGGAACUGUAGAACCGGAGUGUCGGAGGGGUAAGCGGAAUUCCCAGUGUAGCGGUGAAAUGCGUAGAUAUUGGGAGGAACACCGGCGGCGAAGGCGGCUUACUGGACGACAACUGACGUUGAGGCUCGAAGGCGUGGGUAGCAAACUGGAUUAGAUACCCGCGUAGUCCCUGUCUCUUAUAC
This 310-nucleotide ribosomal RNA is filed under the name uncultured bacterium. RNAcentral describes it as "partial 16S ribosomal RNA". It matches the Rfam family "Bacterial small subunit ribosomal RNA", at positions 503 to 807 of the family's 1533-position model. The record is from RNAcentral.